This 868-nucleotide ribosomal RNA is filed under the name uncultured Neocallimastigales. Its description in RNAcentral is "partial large subunit ribosomal RNA". It matches the Rfam family "Eukaryotic large subunit ribosomal RNA", at positions 1 to 634 of the family's 3401-position model. Lineage: Eukaryota; Fungi; Neocallimastigomycota; Neocallimastigomycetes; Neocallimastigales. The record is from RNAcentral.
GUACACGCUGUGACUAGCAUAUCAAUAAGCGGAGGAAAAGAGGGCUAUUACCUACGCUUAGGAUGUUGACAGCAGUAAGACUGUCGAUCUCAUCUAUACAUGACUCUGCGCAUAUCAAUAAGCGGAGGAAAAGAAACUAACAAGGAUUCCCCUAGUAACGGCGAGUGAAGCGGGAAGAGCUCAAAUUUGAAAUCUUAAAGGGUUUCCCUUUACGAAUUGUAGUUUAAAGAAGUGUUUUCUGUUGAGGUUUUGGUAAAAGUUCUUUGGAAUAGGACAUCAUAGAGGGUGAGAAUCCCGUAUUUGACCUUUACUUUCAACUUUGUGAUACACUUUCAAAGAGUCGGAUUGUUUGGGAAUGCAGUCCAAAAUGGGUGGUAAAUUUCAUCUAAAGCUAAAUAUUGGCGAGAGACCGAUAGCGAACAAGUACCGUGAGGGAAAGAUGAAAAGAACUUUGAAAAGAGAGUUAAACAGUACGUGAAAUUGUCAAAAGGGAAGCGUUUGACACCAGUGUUGUUUUUCUGAAAAUCAAUUAAAGAACUGUUUAUGCUAAGCUGUUUAGACUUUAUCAGCUAUCUGUUUAGUUUUGAGCUUUUCUUUAAUGCACUUUUCAGUUAACAAGUCAACAUCAAUUUCUUUUGCUGCUAAAAAAGCUUGAGGAAGGUGGCUUGAGAUUCGUCUUAAGUGUUUAUAGCCUCUUGCCUAUGCAGUCGGAGAGAUUGAGGUCUGCAGCGUAGAUCCUUCGGGGCUAAAUGCAUUUGUGCUAAGUUAUAGCAUUUCAUAGACAACUUGUUGACUAUGAUUUGUCUUGUAGCUUACUCGCUUAUGUUAUUUUACCUACGCUUAGGAUGUUGACAGCAGUAUAGACUGU